This 45-nucleotide non-coding RNA is filed under the name Schistosoma haematobium. Lineage: Eukaryota; Metazoa; Platyhelminthes; Trematoda; Strigeidida; Schistosomatidae. The record is from RNAcentral.
AUCUGGCUGACGAGUUCCAAAUAAAACGAAACACACGUGCAGGAU